Molecule: non-coding RNA, 89 nt
Organism: Podarcis lilfordi (Lilford's wall lizard)
Lineage: Eukaryota; Metazoa; Chordata; Lepidosauria; Squamata; Lacertidae
Source: the annotation of a GenBank genome assembly
GACUGGAUAGCUCAGUUGGUUAGAGCGUGGUGCUGAUAACACCAAAGUCGCAGGUGCGAUCCAGCUGCGUAUUCCUGCAUUGCAGGGCG